UGAAUGGGGGAACCCAGCAUGAGUUAUGUCAUGUUAUCGACAUGUGAAUUCAUAGCAUGUCAGAAGGCAGACCCGGAGAACUGAAACAUCUUAGUACCCGGAGGAAGAGAAAGAA
RNAcentral lists this ribosomal RNA (115 nucleotides) under Staphylococcus epidermidis. RNAcentral describes it as "partial 23S ribosomal RNA". It matches the Rfam family "Bacterial large subunit ribosomal RNA", at positions 115 to 227 of the family's 2925-position model. The record is from RNAcentral. Lineage: Bacteria; Bacillati; Bacillota; Bacilli; Caryophanales; Staphylococcaceae.